UUGCCCGUGACAAUUGCUAAGCCCCCUCCCAGCGAUUUUUCCCGCUCCAAAUGGUACGUGAAGUUCUGAAAAUACCCUUUCUGCCUCUUAAAACCUCGUAUGCCUUCAUUCCACUCUGUUCGUUGGAAACAAUUGAGAGUUUCCAACUUCAAUGCGAUAAAUCAGCUCUCAAAUUCCAGAGAUUGUUGAAGGUAAUCUUUUCCAAAAUUAUUUAUCAAUCUUUUUAUUUAUAUGAUUACAAUUCGAUACCCAUUCAUUUUAACCCUAAUUUUGUUAUCGGAAAUUGAGCAUAGCCGACAAUCAAUCUCUACCAUUAGCUCUGAGAUUACAAGCUCGGUAUGUUUUACUAUGAAACUUCAUUUUUUUUUCUGGAUUAUAGUAUUCUUAAAUAGUUUCGUUGGUCUCUCUGCGAAACACAUAUCUGGCUAUGGAAGAACGAAGAAUCAGAAAUUGAUGGUCAUCUUCUCCAACAACAACAGGGGCGGACCUAGGGGUGGUCCACGGUGUCACCGGCAACCCCUAAUUUUUCCGGCUGCAGUGGAAAAUUUUUCGAAAAUUUUAGAAAUUUUUAUUUUUUCUACUACCGUGCAACCCCCUAACUUUCUCGUGCAACCCCUACCGUAAAAUUCUGCGUCCGCCCUCUGUUUUCUUCAAAUAACAUUCCAAAGCUGGAUGUAUCUGCUUCUUAUAUUUGAUCUACAGACGUGAACUUAAUGAAUGCUAUGAAUGUAUUACGGAGCAAGGGUGGCCGUUGUUGCCAUAAAUUGGUGUACCUAGAGUAAAAAAUCAGGAUGAUUAAUGUGGUAAAAUGGGUCGUGGGUAUUUAGGAAAUAAAGGUUUUAUCAUUUUUUAAUUAGAUUAAAUGAUAUGAUAGAGAUUUUUUAGUAAUUGGUUUUUUAUAUUUGAAGUUUAUGUAAAUUUAUUUGUAUUCUAAGGUGUUGUUAAUAUAACUAGAUUAAAACCCGCAUUAAACGCGGGGAGCAUAUAAAAAAA
Non-coding RNA from Lactuca sativa (garden lettuce), 993 nucleotides. NCBI's taxonomy places the organism in Eukaryota, Viridiplantae, Streptophyta, Magnoliopsida, Asterales, Asteraceae. The record is from RefSeq and is a predicted model, not a curated record.